AAUAAUAACUUUUGUUGUAAAGUAAGCAUUUCCAUUGGUCUUUUUUAAUGGGUAAUGAGAUACUGUUAACUGCGAAAGGUGUUCAUCAAGUGGUCUUUCUGAAGAAUAUGUUCACAAAGAUGAUCGGGAACUCAUGAUGUUUUUUACUGGUUUAUUUUCUUACUAAUGCAAUUUAAGGAUGUGAUUUGGGAAUUAGCAUUGUAAUGCAACUAUGGGUUACUUUAGGAAUGUAUUCUGGU
This 239-nucleotide unclassified non-coding RNA is filed under the name Hevea brasiliensis (rubber tree). The record is from RNAcentral. Lineage: Eukaryota; Viridiplantae; Streptophyta; Magnoliopsida; Malpighiales; Euphorbiaceae.